GAAGCCAUCAUUCUUUAGAGGGUAGUGACCAAACAGUACCAGCAGAAAUUGAAGUACCAGCAGAAGGGAUCAUGGCACAAGUUGCAGUUUCCACCCUGCCCAUUGAAGAUGAGGAGUCUGUUGAAGAUGAGUCUUUGGAGAGCAGGAUGGUGGUGACAUUCUUAAUGUCAGCUCUCGAGUCCAUGAGUCUCACUUUGCUGCCUAGGCUGGAGUGCAGUUGGCACCUUCUCGGCUCACUGCAACCUCUGGCUCCCAGGUUCAAGCGAUUCUUCUGCCUCAGCCUCACAAGUAUCUGGGAUUACAGGUGUGCACCACCUCGCCCGGCUAACUUUUUUUUUGUAUUUUUU
RNAcentral lists this long non-coding RNA (347 nucleotides) under Pongo abelii (Sumatran orangutan). Its description in RNAcentral is "lincRNA". Lineage: Eukaryota; Metazoa; Chordata; Mammalia; Primates; Hominidae. The record is from RNAcentral.